This is a long non-coding RNA of Mercenaria mercenaria, 663 nucleotides long. RefSeq lists it as uncharacterized. The record is from RefSeq and is a predicted model, not a curated record. The transcript has 3 exons. Lineage: Eukaryota; Metazoa; Mollusca; Bivalvia; Venerida; Veneridae.
UCAAAAAGAUAAAUUUCAAAUCAAAAAUAAAAUUUGAAAGAAAUAUCAUAUAUCUUUCAAACUAGAACAGUAAGCCGAUGAACACUUAAAUCCAUUGCACGCUGAGCAUGCGUAUUUAAACUGCUCGGUUUUGCACGCUGGGCAUGCGCAUUUAACCUUCUCGGUUUGGCACGCUGGGCAUGCGCAGGGGAACAUUUAUUUGCGCGGCAGCGCACGCUGCACGCUGAGCAUGCGCAAUAACUAUUUCUCGUUUAUGCACGCGUUUCUAACCGUGCAACACGUUUCACGUUUCGCCUUCAACACGCGAGUUGCUCGCGUUAUCACGCAAACUCGGGGAACAAACUCGCAGGCGCCACUGUACACCUGUGAGUGUAGAGCAGGAUUUUACAAAACAGAUCAAGGAGACUGCAGAGAUACCGAUGAAUGUCCAGACCCGCUGCUGCAUAAUUGUACGCAAGAAUGCAUCAAUGCAAUUGGAGGUUAUUCCUGUGGGUGCAGAGAAGGAUACACGAAAAAAGACAAAUGGUCUUGUGAGGAUAUAGACGAAUGCGAGUUAGGUACAUCUAGCUGUGAACAGAAAUGUGUGAAUAACCAAGGCCAGUACAGUUGUUUUUGUCAUUUUGGAUACAGUAUUAACGAUGACCGAAGAAACAUGUAGAAAAC